AUUGAACGCUGGCGGCGUGCCUAACACAUGCAAGUCGAGCGGCAGCGCGGGAGCAAUCCUGGCGGCGAGCGGCGGACGGGUGAGUAACGCUUGGGAAUCUGCCUGUUAGUGGGGGACAACCCGGGGAAACUCGGGCUAAUACCGCAUACGCACUACGGUGGAAAGCCGGGGACCGCAAGGCCUGGCGCUAACAGAUGAGCCCAAGUCGGAUUAGCUAGUUGGUAGGGUAACGGCCUACCAAGGCGACGAUCCGUAACUGGUCUGAGAGGACGACCAGUCACACCGGAACUGAGACACGGUCCGGACUCCUACGGGAGGCAGCAGUGGGGAAUAUUGGACAAUGGGGGAAACCCUGAUCCAGCGACGCCGCGUGGGUGAAGAAGGCCUGCGGGUUGUAAAGCCCUUUCAGUGGGGAAGAAAAGCCUCGACCUAAUACGUUGGGGUCUUGACGUAACCCAUAGAAGAAGCACCGGCUAACUCUGUGCCAGCAGCCGCCGUAAC
This 501-nucleotide ribosomal RNA is filed under the name uncultured bacterium. RNAcentral's name for it is "bacterial SSU rRNA". It matches the Rfam family "Bacterial small subunit ribosomal RNA", at positions 29 to 524 of the family's 1533-position model. The record is from RNAcentral.